This 466-nucleotide ribosomal RNA is filed under the name uncultured bacterium. RNAcentral describes it as "bacterial SSU rRNA". It matches the Rfam family "Bacterial small subunit ribosomal RNA", at positions 330 to 793 of the family's 1533-position model. The record is from RNAcentral.
GCCAGACUCCUACGGGAGGCAGCAGUGAGGAAUAUUGGUCAAUGGCCGAGAGGCUGAACCAGCCAAGUCGCGUGAGGGAAGACUGCCCUAUGGGUUGUAAACCUCUUUUGUCAGGGAGCAAUUGGCGCUACGUGUAGCGUUAUCGAGAGUACCUGAAGAAAAAGCAUCGGCUAACUCCGUGCCAGCAGCCGCGGUAAUACGGAGGAUGCGAGCGUUAUCCGGAUUUAUUGGGUUUAAAGGGUGCGCAGGCGGAUUUUUAAGUCAGCGGUCAAAUCGUGGGGCUCAACCCCAUCCAGCCGUUGAAACUGGGGAUCUAGAGUGUGCGAGAGGUAUGCGGAAUGCGUGGUGUAGCGGUGAAAUGCAUAGAUAUCACGCAGAACCCCGAUUGCGAAGGCAGCAUACCGGUGCACAACUGACGCUCAGGCACGAAAGCGUGGGUAUCGAACAGGAUUAGAUACCCGUGUAC